This 492-nucleotide ribosomal RNA is filed under the name uncultured bacterium. Its description in RNAcentral is "partial 16S ribosomal RNA". It matches the Rfam family "Bacterial small subunit ribosomal RNA", at positions 29 to 507 of the family's 1533-position model. The record is from RNAcentral.
AGUGAACGCUGGCGGUAGGCCUAACACAUGCAAGUCGAACGGCAGCACAGUAAGAGCUUGCUCUUACGGGUGGCGAGUGGCGGACGGGUGAGGAAUACAUCGGAAUCUACUUUUUCGUGGGGGAUAACGUAGGGAAACUUACGCUAAUACCGCAUACGACCUACGGGUGAAAGCAGGGGAUCUUCGGACCUUGCGCGAUUGAAUGAGCCGAUGUCGGAUUAGCUAGUUGGCGGGGUAAAGGCCCACCAAGGCGACGAUCCGUAGCUGGUCUGAGAGGAUGAUCAGCCACACUGGAACUGAGACACGGUCCAGACUCCUACGGGAGGCAGCAGUGGGGAAUAUUGGACAAAGGGCGCAAGCCUGAUGCAGCCAUACCGCGUGGGUGAAGAAGGCCUUCGGGUUGUAAAGCCCUUUUGUUGGGAAAGAAAAGCAGCAGGUUAAUACCCCGCUGUUCUGACGGUACCCAAAGAAUAAGCACCGGCUAACUUCGUG